UUUUCGUCAAAUAUAUCGACUAAUCCAAAAAGAUGAACAUCCUCCCGAGAAAACGCGUUUCUUAUUUUCAUCAACUCUAAACAGUGAAGAUCCAGGAAACAAAUCCAGAACAGAGAAACGAAGAAACUCACCGAGAAGGAAUAGGCUUUUUCUAAGCGUUCGUUUGUCCAGCCCAGAUUCUACAACUGUCAUUUUACCAAAGCAAAGCCUGAAGUGUUUGCAGAUCAGAAGAUCAACAUGAAUCAGAGAUCACCCGCGAGAGGCCGUCAAUAAUCAGCUCUUCAACCCAAGUGAGAUCCAUCCUAAUCCAAAACACGUAAUUCAGCAAAAUGUUGGAAGUGAUGAAAUCCCCCGUCAGAAGCUGUCGUGCUCUCAGCUCAUUCACUUUCUGAAAACAAGCAGCAAAUCAAAACUAGCGUCUGAACUGCCGUCAUCAGCUGCUGAAGUCAAAUACAGG
Cyprinus carpio (common carp) is the source of this 457-nucleotide long non-coding RNA. RefSeq lists it as uncharacterized. The transcript has 3 exons. NCBI's taxonomy places the organism in Eukaryota, Metazoa, Chordata, Actinopteri, Cypriniformes, Cyprinidae. The record is from RefSeq and is a predicted model, not a curated record.